GUGCUUGCUUAGGCAGCAUGCAUACUAAAAUUGGAAUGAUGCGGUAGAUUAGCAUGGCCUCUGAACAAGGCUGAAAUACAAGUUUUUGAAACAUUUUUUUUCUUA
Small nuclear RNA from Apodemus sylvaticus (European woodmouse), 105 nucleotides. Lineage: Eukaryota; Metazoa; Chordata; Mammalia; Rodentia; Muridae. The record is from RefSeq and is a predicted model, not a curated record.